AACGAAUGCUGGCGGCAUGCCUAACAUAUGCAAGUCGAACGAGACCUUCGGGUCUAGUGGCGCACGGGUGCGUAACGCGUGGGAACCUGCCCUUAGGUUCGGAAUAACUCCCCGAAAGGGGUGCUAAUACCGGAUAAUGUCUUCGGACCAAAGAUUUAUCGCCUUUGGAUGGGCCCGCGUUGGAUUAGCUAGUUGGUAGGGUAAAAGCCUACCAAGGCGACGAUCCAUAGCUGGUCUGAGAGGAUGAUCAGCCACACUGGGACUGAGACACGGCCCAGACUCCUACGGGAGGCAGCAGUGGGGAAUAUUGGACAAUGGGCGAAAGCCUGAUCCAGCAAUGCCGCGUGAGUGAUGAAGGCCUUAGGGUUGUAAAGCUCUUUUACCCGGGAUGAUAAUGACAGUACCGGGAGAAUAAGCUCCGGCUAACUCCGUG
This 433-nucleotide ribosomal RNA is filed under the name uncultured bacterium. RNAcentral describes it as "partial 16S ribosomal RNA". It matches the Rfam family "Bacterial small subunit ribosomal RNA", at positions 29 to 507 of the family's 1533-position model. The record is from RNAcentral.